Molecule: long non-coding RNA, 1754 nt
Organism: Melopsittacus undulatus (budgerigar)
Lineage: Eukaryota; Metazoa; Chordata; Aves; Psittaciformes; Psittaculidae
Exons: 4
Source: RefSeq, a predicted model, not a curated record
GCAGUCAGGCCUACUUCGAGCGGAAGCAGGGGGAGAUUGACACCGCCCCCACACCCUCCCUUCCAGUCAGCAAUGCGGUGGCUACGUGACUCACAAAAGACUCGGCGCAGAAGGCUGAAGGCUGGAGGAUGCUACCAGACCUCUCAGGACCUGGAAGUGCCACUGGAGCGGGUCAGCCUAUCCUGCAGUGCCUGAGGCAUGUCCAGCCACAGCAGGGUUCUAGGCUCAGCCUGGGAGACCAGGGGACCAAGCGUCACUGCCGCUUCUGACAACUGCCCAGGUGCUCUGCUGCCCCUGGGAGCUACAGCUGUAACCAAGGCCAAGCCAAACUGGAACAGAAGUGCUUUCAACCAGUCACCACAUGGAAGAGACCCUGUAGAGCUCUGUCCCACCUUGCAGAAGACAUUGUAGUUGAGGACUUAAUGAUGUUGAACAGCUGGGAGUAACUGGAAACAUCACCACACUGGCCAGACCAACCGUAUCUUCUGCCUGGAGAACCUACAGACAGGAUCAACAGCAUCUAGUGAUGUAGCCAUCAACUGUGGCAUAAUCAGGCUCACCUGUAACAGCACAAAAAUAUUAGGUCUGCUUGUCAGUAGUGUUCAUUACGAGACUCUACACAGGACAGAAACACUGGCCACCUGUGUUAAAGGGAUGGAAGGCAAUGAUGGAUGAGGCUGAAAAAGAUGUCUUGAUUCUAUGAUUCUAUGAUUUGCUGAACAACCAAAGCAUUUUACAAAGUUCCAUCACUAAAGUGCACUGAGAAUUAUAUAACUCAUGGUGUUGAAUCAGGCAAAGGCCCAAACUGCAGAGACUGGUGGGAUCCCAACCUUGGACAUCAUUAAGCUCCAUAUAUGACUAUACUCAGGGCUUUGAUCAGAACUUCUCCUUAGUGAAACCUUGUCUCCAAAGUCAGACUCCAGCUUGCUAGGAUCUUUCAGGUGGCACCAGAUUUCACCUAAACCAUUCCCUUUAGGGAGCUAAAGCUCAUGAUCGAUGGGGAAGAGCAAAAGCAUAGUUUUUCUGUGGAGCCAGAAACAACAUAAAGCAAGGAAUUCUGGUGCACUGGUCAGGGUUGGUAGAGGUGCCCUCCUGCACAGUAGAAAAGGCAGAGCUGAGGACCUGCGUGGCUCUGGGACUCCCAAUGCCCUGGCUCUGUGCUCCACAAAUGCUCUGCCAGAGCUGGUGGGAAGGCAAGAGAUUAGGCCAGCCUGGACUUUAUGGAGACCAAAUACCCAGACAUGUCGUGGUGGGCUAAGGUAAAGCCAGAGGGCAUUGCAGAAAUAGUUGAUCCAUUCACACUCCUGGGUCUCAAAGAACUGAAAUGACACAGACAAAACAGCCCUAACAUCUGUGAGAAGAGAGCAAAUCUCCUCUAUUCUGAUCUCUUCUCAUCCCACUACAAAGAUCUCUGUCCACAGCAAGGAGCAGGUGAUGUUGGUCUUCUGCAGGAAACAUGGUAACUAACCAUGAGUCAUAGAAUCAUAGAAUCAACUAGGUUGCAAAACACCUCGUCCAGAGAAGAAGUCAUCCCUUUGCACACCCAUGUACUUCAAAGAUGAGCAUUAAGCUCUGGAAGGUCUGCAGGGCCAAUGUGGAAGGGGUCACUCAGUACACCAGUACCUCUGGGGAGAUGAAGCCAGCUUCCUAAGGGCACUGCAUGUUCCUUGGUACCCCACCCAUGGUCCUGCAGUCCCAGCUGACUUCUCUCCCUCAACUAUUGUGCAAUAAAAAAGCUUUGGGGAUCUAUGAAA